GACGAACGCUGGCGGCGUGCUUAACACAUGCAAGUCGAACGGAAAGGCCCUGCUUUUGUGGGGUGCUCGAGUGGGGAACGGGGGAGUAACACGUGAGUAACCUGCCCUUAACUUUGGGAUAACUUCAGGAAACUGGGGCUAUUACCGGAUAGGAGCUCCUGCUGCAUGGGGGGGGUUGGAAAGUUUCGGCGGUUGGGGAUGGACUCGCGGCUUAUCAGCUUGUUGGUGGGGUAGUGGCUUACCAAGGCUUUGACGGGUAGCCGGCCUGAGAGGGUGACCGGCCACAUUGGGACUGAGAUACGGCCCAGACUCCUACGGGAGGCAGCAGUGGGGAAUAUUGCACAAUGGGCGGAAGCCUGAUGCAGCAACGCCGCGUGCGGGAUGACGGCCUUCGGGUUGUAAACCGCUUUCGCCUGUGACGAAGCGUGAGUGACGGUAAUGGGUAAAGAAGCACCGGCUAACUACGUG
RNAcentral lists this ribosomal RNA (468 nucleotides) under uncultured bacterium. Its description in RNAcentral is "partial 16S ribosomal RNA". It matches the Rfam family "Bacterial small subunit ribosomal RNA", at positions 28 to 507 of the family's 1533-position model. The record is from RNAcentral.